CCGGGCUUGUGCGGACGUGUCUCGGGCGUGACCUUUGAGCAGCUGCGCCACCGGCUCAGCCUCGCGGCGGGGGAAACCCGAGCUCCCAACAAAACGGUUCCAUCUUUGGCUAGGCCUUUGGUAUUUCAAGGCGCUGCCGGUGGGGAGAGAUGCCGCGUGCCUGAGAGGCUCUGGGAGAUGUUAUGUGGUCAACAGGGACUGAGGCUCUUUAAGCCCUUAAAUCUCUAAGGGCUAAAUCUCCUUCCUGAUAUUCGCCCCCAAACCGGCACCAAAGAAGGCCCAGAGAGGUUUAACAACUUCCUCAGAAUCACACAGCUUCCAAAUGGUUGGGUUGGGUUUACAUUUAGGCGGUCUUGCUCCAGAGCCAGUGCUCCUAACCUUUGCAAGCCACGAACCUCAAGAAAGUGGAGAAGGAAACGCUGGGAAAUCUGGAAGUCAGACAUGAGAGCUAAUGCUGGCAGCUGUUGGGAUGUCCUCUUCCAGGAAUGGUGAUGAGUUUCCCUGGAUCCAGCCCUGGCUUGGCUGAGGUUUUUCUCACUGUAAGAAGAGGACAAUAGCCUAUGAUCUACAGUGCCCAUUCCAACUCAGAGAAUCUUUACAUCUGGAGAUCUAUAGCAGGGCUAUCCCUAGUGACAUGCGUGAAGAAGCUUGGAAAUGGUGCUGGGUAGGAGCUGAGUGUGCAGAAUGUGGAAAGGCAUUCUAAACCAAAGGAAGAACACGAGUAAAGAUGAUGAAGCAGGGAUAAGGCUAAAAUGAAAUUUGUGAUCUGAUCCACAUACAAGCACAGUGUAGUACAGCUGGAAUAUAGAGAAGAGCUUGAAGACUUAUGAGCAACUAUCCCGGUACUCUUGGAGGCUCUGCAACCACAGUUUGAGAAACUCCGCGUUCAAAGUUAAAAACUGUCACCUGAAUAGUUAAUAACAUCAAAGAUUGUGAAAGCAAGUAUAAAUAACACAGAGAUUAAAAUAAUGAGGCAGGAUCAGAAAGUCCUUGGAACAGGAGAAAGGGUUGGAAAACAAAGAUCACUUUUCUCUGGCCAAAUGGAAUCACCCAACAAAGUACCUUCCUGAUGGGCCAGCUAUUUCAGAUGAUGAAGGUUUAAGAAGCAGCAUCAUCAGCGAACUGUGUUUUGAAGAUUUGAGGGAAGGGCUGACCUCAGGAUUUUAUACUAGUUGCUGACCUCCAUAACAGCAGACAAAAUUGGAAGCAAGAGUGAUUUUGGAGGAGUCACACUUAGAUGUUUCCCUUACCUAUUUCUGUUCUGGAAAUUUAAAAAUCUUACUUCUCGUGACAGUCCUACAUGAAAAAUUAAAAAUCACAAGGAUUCAUGGAUGGAAAACUGAGACUCAGAGAAUGAUCACAUUCACAUCGUAAUAAAUCAGCAAUAGAGUGAGUGAUUGUUCCUUGGUAAGAAAUCAACUCUAAACUCAGUUGGAAACCUUUGCCAAUAUUACUUAACACAUGACAAUCUGGUGUGACUCAUUUUUCUUGACAUUAUGCAAAUAAAGGAAACAAGACUGAGUGGCCUUCUGUCCGGAGAGCAGGAAAUGAA
RNAcentral lists this long non-coding RNA (1552 nucleotides) under Homo sapiens (human). Its description in RNAcentral is "HSALNT0317203". Lineage: Eukaryota; Metazoa; Chordata; Mammalia; Primates; Hominidae. The record is from RNAcentral.